AACACCGAAGUUAAGCAGCGUAGAGCCAGGUCAGUACAUAGAUGGGGGACCGCUUGGGAACACCUGGUACUGUAAG
Acanthosepion pharaonis is the source of this 76-nucleotide non-coding RNA. Lineage: Eukaryota; Metazoa; Mollusca; Cephalopoda; Sepiida; Sepiidae. The record is from the annotation of a GenBank genome assembly.